Helianthus annuus (common sunflower) is the source of this 2357-nucleotide long non-coding RNA. RefSeq lists it as uncharacterized. Lineage: Eukaryota; Viridiplantae; Streptophyta; Magnoliopsida; Asterales; Asteraceae. The record is from RefSeq and is a predicted model, not a curated record. The transcript is spliced from 9 exons.
UCAUGUUAACCCUUAUUGAAAGAAAUUGAGCGGGAUUCCACCACGCCAUUCAUCCCUCUUUUUGCUUGCCAAUAAUUGAUAAGAGAUUGAUGCACUUUCCAUAUUGUUGAAAUCAGUUUCCUUCCUGUCUUAAUUGCAAUCACAAUAACCACGCUUUUGUAAUAGACCAUUCAGAAAACCCUAAAUCUCAAACACAAAAAUUAUCAUUCAGACCCCAAGAUUUCUUUAUCUUCAAUCGUGAUUGAAAGCAAACAGUCUUCAUGGAGAAAUUGAUUGAAAGCAAAAUUUAGGGUUUAUAGAAUUAGAGGCAGAAUUUAUCAGGUUCUCUCAAUCCAUCUUCCAUCGUGAUUCUCAUCAUGAUGUUUGAAGUUUGGAAUCCAGGCUAAGGAAGUUGCUGGGUUGCUUGGCUAACGAAGCUGUUGUGACAAACUCUUAGCCAAAAUUGAUUGUUGUUGGUACAUGCUCCACUAUAUGAGUAUGCUUGAAUCUACAAGGAAAUUGCUUCAAAUCUUACCCAUCCAGGAGAAACUGUUAAUCAUGCAACCAUUGAUGACGUUGAUGAUGUGUACAACAUUCAUAACAUGUAGAUCUUGUGAUAUACGGGUCGUUUAUUGAAGAACAAUCUUUUUUCCGACAUUCUAAUUAAAGCAAUGUGCCAUGAGAAACCAAUAAUAGGUCCUGACAUGUUGAUGAAAAGGUCAAUGCCUACCUCUUUCCUAAGGAGCAUAUAAUGGUUUUAAUUUUUAGCAUAGAUUAUAAUAACAGGAGGCAUCGGGUGGGUGUUUAGGGAUUAAAAACAGGAAGCAUGUUCAACGUGUAGCAAGGUUUUUUCGUACCAAGCAAGAAGUUUAGCGAAGCCGCAUUAUGGAUGAGAUAGCAAAAACAAAGUAGAUAAAAAUAACCUGGAGUUGGAGAAUUCAAGUUCGUAAUUUCGCAUCAUACAUGCGUGUCACGUUGGCUUGUGAUCACCAAGUUAUUGAUGAUUCCAGUGGGGCGCCCGUGAGCGAUGGGCCCAUCCGUGAGUUAAGUUUAAAAUAGUAUUACAUUAUUGUUUAUUUUGUACACGAUUAAUAGCUUUUUCCUUUUUUUACCUAAGCUUUGCAGCUGAUAAUUUUCUCUUCUACAUGAGAUAAUUUUAAAACUAGAGAAGGCAUUGCUGUUAGAUAUGUAUGUGAGAGCAUACAAGGUACUUUUUUAAGCUCUAUGUUUCCUUAAUUUUUAGUUUUUUGACUGCAUCUCUUGGUGAGUGGUUUUUCCGUUAAAGGUUUAGUAGUGAGGUUAUAGACCUUACUUGGCCUACUUGGUCAUGAUAUAUAGACUUCAUCGUUACAAUAACAAGUCCAUUAAUUGCUAGACAGUCGAUCUGAAGUAUCAUGUUACCCUGAUAUUUAGUUCAAUAUGCCAUACAAGGCGCAAAGAUGUUUUGGUUUUCGCAUCUUUAACAAAGCUUCUAAACAGAGUAUAUGAAUCGGAAUUUGGAUCUACAAGACAUGUGGGUAGAACGUUUUCUGGGAUUGGGAAUGGAAGCGGGUUCCCGGAACUGAUAGAAGUCAAAAUGAAAAGGAUAGGAAAGACAAAUGGGGGUGGGCGAGUCACGGCGUAACAGAUGCGUUCUCGGUUAAAUAGUUACACAUAGAUAUGAAUGAUGCAAGCGGGGUGCGGGACGGGACUGGGUAUUUAUGGAACAGAUAGCUAUUCCCAAAGUGAAUUAUUUUGCUUGGCGGGCGAUGAGUGGGAAAAUCCCAACUACAGAUGCAUUGGUAGCUAGAGGCGUCCCAAACAUUAAUACAACAUGCUCAGCAUGCGGUAUAUGUCUAGAGUUAGUGGCUCGGUGCACCAUUUACUGGUGGACUGCAUAUUCAUAAGGACAAUAUGGUGGCAGAUAUGUGUUUGGGUCAUUCAAUUUGACUCAGCGGAUUCUUACUUACGGUCAGGAAGCAUCCAAGCCGGGAUACAAGAUGCAUGUGGUAAACACCAUAUUUCUAAUGACAUUGUAUAGUAUUUGGAAUAGAGGAAAUCAAAAGAUCUACAAAGGUGUAUCGAGAACGGCCUUCCAAGUAGUAGAGGAAAUCAAAGAAUCCACGUACCGGUGGAUGUUAAAAAGGUCUAAAAUUGGUGAAAUAUCCAUGCAACAGUGGAUUAGUUUGAAGGUGCAGUGGAUUAGUUUGAAUGUGUUAAGACAUGUCAGUAUGCAAUUCAACUGUUCGUUUUUAGUACGUGGUUUAAUUUUUUAUCUGUAACUCACUAUUUACAUCAUUCUUACUUGAAAUAUCGAUGCAGCACGUGAUAUUUAGUGGGAAAUAAUUACUAUAUAUUUUGUAAAUAUUCUUUUAUAUCAUACUAUGUGUUCUUACAUU